This 305-nucleotide ribosomal RNA is filed under the name uncultured bacterium. Its description in RNAcentral is "bacterial SSU rRNA". It matches the Rfam family "Bacterial small subunit ribosomal RNA", at positions 331 to 655 of the family's 1533-position model. The record is from RNAcentral.
CUUGACCUACGGGAGGCAGCAGUGGGGAAUAUUGCACAAUGGGGGAAACCCUGAUGCAGCAACGCCGCGUGAGUGAAGAAGUAUUUCGGUAUGUAAAGCUCUAUCAGUAGGGAAGAAAAUGACGGUACCUGACUAAGAAGCCCCGGCUAACUACGUGCCAGCAGCCGCGGUAAUACGUAGGGGGCAAGCGUUAUCCGGAUUUACUGGGUGUAAAGGGAGCGUAGACGGAAUUGCAAGUCUGAUGUGAAAAUCCGGGGCCCAACCCCGGAACUGCAUUGGAAACUGUAUUUCUAGAGUGUCGGAGC